Molecule: ribosomal RNA, 254 nt
Filed under: uncultured bacterium
Lineage: Bacteria
Description: partial 16S ribosomal RNA
Rfam family: Bacterial small subunit ribosomal RNA
Source: RNAcentral
UACGUAGGAGGCGAGCGUUGUCCGGAGUUACUGGGCGUAAAGGGUGCGCAGGCGGCGUCACGCGUGGAUAGUUGAAAUCUCCUGGCUUACCUGGGAGGGUGGUAUCCAGACGGUGGCGCUUGAGGGUCGGAGAGGGGCGUGGAAUUCCGGGUGGAGCGGUGAAAUGCGUAGAGAUGUGGAGGAAUACCGAUGGCGAAGGCAGCCCCCUGGGUCAAUACUGACGCUCAUGCACGAAAGCGUGGGGAGCAAACAGG